Molecule: long non-coding RNA, 2244 nt
Filed under: Homo sapiens (human)
Lineage: Eukaryota; Metazoa; Chordata; Mammalia; Primates; Hominidae
Description: HSALNT0364551
Source: RNAcentral
UCAGCUUGUGGUGAAUGCUGUCAGGCUUGGGACUCACCCUUCAGGGCAAGAGGCUCCCCUCUGGCCCAGGGCAGGCUCAGAAAUCCCAUCCAAGAGCCAAAUCCUGGAAUCAGGGGCUCCAAGACCUUGCUUGGUGAUCUUCCCUACUGUGACCAAGCUUGUACCUAAGCUGCAAUCAAAAUCCUUUUUUAUUAUUAUGCCUCCUUUUCUCAGGCAGAAGGAGUCUCUUCUCAUAUCCACCAUGGCUGUGAAUAUGCUGGGUCACACCUGAAGCUAGCAAAUCUCAGAGUCUCACCCAAGGCCCAUGAUAGGGAAAGGGGAAGGCUUGAUCUGGGAAAGCUGGAGAAAGAAGACUGAAGGAUGGACUGGAUGACAUUGAUGCUAUUGCCUCAUGACAAAAUCUGAUGCAAGAGGAAGGCUACUAAGAAGCCAGCUCUACUUUUGACCAUCAGGUACCAUCUUAGGCUUCAGUUUCCUCAGGAGAAGAGGAUCCUUGGACAAGAGGAUCUGCAAAGUUCCUUCUAACUAAUAUUCUAUGAUUCUUUUUCUGAGUAAAAAGAUGGAUUUAUGACAAAAUUAAAAAAAGAAAAUCAGCUUUUAAAAGGUGUAACUUCUUCAAAGAUUUUUCCAGAAAAGACUGCCAAUAUGAAUUGUGAGAUAAAGCAGAUUGUAGAGCAAAAUUGUUGGACUUUUAAGAACAAAAAUACAUGGAAGCCAAGAGCAAUAAUUAACAUUUUUGAAAUAUUAUGUUACUUUCUCACAUUAAAAAAAUAAUAAUUGAGACUGUGAGGUGGGCAGGAGUACAUUUCCUUACCUAGGGAUUUUAGGUGACUUAAUAUAAGUCGCCUAAAAGUAAGCCAGUAGACCCAAGAAUCGUACCUUCAAAUUGCAGGACCCAUAGAGAACAAUCCAGGUAUAAAUUUAGCCGGGGAAGGGUCAGAUUAAUACUGGACUUCUGGUGUCACAUUGCUCAGCUUCAAAGCACAAUUUACAUAUUUUCAUUGACUUACUUUUGCUAUUUCUGUAUAAUGAACUCUAGAAAUAUUUGGUUACUAUCUCCAGAAUUUGGAAUUUUCAAUGGACUGUAAUAAGAAACAAAAAAGAUCAGAUAAGGGGAAAAAGAUCUGUUAUGUCCUAAAUAACAGUGAUAACAUGAACACAAUCUAUGCUAUAAAAAGCUAUGAGCUAAGCUCACAAAACAUGUGGACAAAUAUGAGCUAGUGAAAGAAAAUGACCUAAUGGAAAGAUGUCAGAAAGUGGCAGAACAAGUUCUAAGAAAAUUGGACAAUUUCCUCAAUCUGACAUGAUUUAAGUGCAAGGAGAACUUGAAUAGCAUGAAUUUGGCCUUGGGCAGAAAUAUGUACCCCCAAGAGAGGCAGCUCCCUCAGCAUUGCUUCUAGACAUCGAAUUUGGCAUGAAGAGAAUGUUAGCUAGUCCAGGACACAUUCUAGACAGGAUAGGCUCUAAACAUUUCGAAAAAGCCUCUACUCAUUGUAAAAAAAAUAUGCUUAAUAUAUAUAUAAUUAAAAGGAAGAAAGUAAAAAUCUUCGUAGUAUUGCAUCUUAACAUUUCGGUGUAUUGCUUUCCAGUGAUGAAAGAAUGAACCUUAAAGGGGAGGAGGACUAACAAUUCUUCAGGUGAGAAGAGGGAAGAAAGUUAGGAUGAAUCUGGAAGUGAGAUUUCAAGAUGGGGCAAGAAGAACUUCUGUUCACCUGUAAAAUAGAAAAAAAGAUAUUUUCAGUCUCACCAUUAUUUUCCAAGUGAGUUUUUUUUUUUCCUAUUACUAAACUGUACAAGGGCAGGAGCUGUGCCAUUUUAGUCUGUGAUCCUCCAAAGACUGUUAUAAUGGCUCAGCAGACACUCAAUAAAUAUUUGUUGAAUAAUCAGAGGCAAGUAAGACAUAAUAAACACAAAAACGUAGCAAAGCAAAUGCCAGGAGGAACUGGAGUUUAGUAGAAUAUUUAAUGAAAGUGCAAAAGACUUGCAAAAGUGCUUGGGAAUUAGGGAAGGAUAAAGAGGGUGUGACCCAAGCCUGGGGUUGCAAAUGACAUAUAGACAGCUUGACAUUUCUUCUCCCUUAUAAUUCAUUAAUCUCCAACAGGGAUCAUUUUCUAAAAAAAAAAUAUUGUUAUAGAUUCAAAGGGUAAAGUGGAAGUUUGUUACAUGGAUAGAUGACAAUGUAGUGGUUGGGUUUGGGCUUCUAUUGUACCCAUCACCCGAAUAGUGAAUAUUGUACCCAAAUAG